This 66-nucleotide transfer RNA is filed under the name Archivesica diagonalis. RNAcentral's name for it is "tRNA-Glu". The record is from RNAcentral. Lineage: Eukaryota; Metazoa; Mollusca; Bivalvia; Venerida; Vesicomyidae.
UUUUUAAUAGUGUAACUAAAACGUUGAUUUUUCGAGUCAGAGAUGAGAUUGAAUUCUCUUAAGGCU